CUGACCACUCAAUAGCAUUGAACACAAUGUCCAACAUGACUACCUUUGUGCUUCUGGGAAUUCAGACCAUCUCAUUUUAUUAAUUGCAGUUCUCUGUCAUCAGCAGCAGACUGGAUCGAAGAACUGUAGGACAAAGAAUGGCUUUUGCUACUCAAGUCUACCAUAUGCUUAUGGAAAAGAGAGUGCUGGGACAGAAGACAACUGGAAAGUGCCUAGCAGGUAUUCGUGUGAGGCCACGGUCAUCGGGUGGAAAUCUGCAUGGGGCGGAGGUGGCUGCACCGUGUGGAAAUCCCAGCUCAGAUGGGAAGGAUGCAGAGAGCUGGGUAGGACGAACACCGAAAGGAGAGGAGAAUCUGAUGCAGUGAAAUGUCCUGGUUAUUUGAUGGCAGGAAUGAGGAAGGUGCUCUCUGAAAAGGAGAACAGUGGGUACUUUGUCGGCUACCACCACUCAAGUGAAAUCCAGGUCAUGUCGAUUUCAGACCUUUUUAUUAGUCACUGCAUUCUUUAUUUCAUGCAUGCAUUAUUUCCACUGUGUCUUUUACACUUACUGUGGUAUGUCAAAAAGCAGCAGACAGAUUUGUGUGUGUAGAACAAUGCAAAAGCAUUAUGGUGAAAUAACAGUGAAAUAGUACUAACAUUAUAAUAUUACUUCAGUACAUUCUGAGAAGUAAUGUCAAUAAAAGAGCCUUUGGAUCAGUAUAACAUCAAUGCUAGGGAGUGUAUUAAUCUCACAGUAACUAUUAAGAAAUAGAGCGAUGCUGAAACUAUACAAAGGAACCGUUACUGAAAGAAUGAGGUACCAGCUGUUCUGAAACCUGUGGAAAGUAUUUUGAACCAAAUAACUAUCAAAGACCCCUUCCAAGCAACCUUCCCUACUGAACAUGUGCAAAUAAAGCAGAGGUCCAGCACUUUCCCUGGCCUUACUUUUCAUACUACACGCAGGCUGCUUUAGAAUAAUACCUGUAUAUUUUACACUCAGCUUCAGAAUGCUGUUAGCUGUCAGACAGACUUUCUUUUUCAAAUGUUUUAUUCAUGUGUCACUUGACUGUUCAUUUGCUAAGGGUUUACAAAUGCUUCAUCAAUUAUUAACAGUCCUGAUACCUACUUGUUAUUUUGUUGUUGUUGCUUUUUUUUUUUUUUUUUUUUUUAAGGAGAUGUUGGGGGAAAGAGAACACUACAAAAUUAAGAAAACAGAAUAAAAUAGGAAUUAAAUAAUUUACAUCUACUUACUGCAUAUAUUCAAGUUAGUUUUUAAAGGAAAACAGUUAUACAAGAGAAAAUUGAAUUAAGUGUUUCCAGUUGUUUCCAAGAAGCACAGAACACCUAUGUUCUCUCCGGGUGCAUGCAGUAUGCUAAAGAGAUCACUUUGUACACUCUCAAGAAAGAGAAUACGCAGAAGAUUGUUUGAAAACAAUCCAAGGAAUGAAGAUCACAUCGCCUUAGUAAAAAAGUGAAGGGAAGAUGUGCUCUUGCAUCUGAAGAGAUAUGUAUCUUAGUGCCUAAAAAAGGACAAGGUAUCUAAUGUGAUGUCUGUCUUUUAAACCCUCAUGUCUCUAAGAAACUUCUGUUGCUUUUCCUUUGGUACAGCUCUAUGAAUAAAUAUAGUGGCAAAAUAGAGGCUUAAGGACAUUCUGAUAUAUUUACCAAAGUCUUCCUCAUCUGCCUGCUUAAUCUCUGCAAAGGAGUGGUACAACCUUUCCCUCUCCCAUUACAGUGCUAGUUCCACCAUGUUGGAGAAACACAAAUCUUUUGGUUUUGUUUUCUGAAGUCAACAAAUAAUGACAUGUAGAGAUUUCAUUAGCUAUUUGUAAACACAUUUAUAAACUAUUUAAUAGCUGCUACUUCCAAAAGGAAAAUAGGAGAGUUUCUUGCUUCUCCAAAAGAAUAGACUGAAAACAAAAUGUUGCAGAGCUAAGUAAGAACUUGGACUUCUGGAAUAGCAGCCUUUCCACAAAUGCCUUCAAAGUUGGUCUGUUCUCUUGUCCCUUUGAAAAAUUGUUUGGGAAAUCUGCAGUUCUCAAUGCUGAAAGCCCUGUUUUGCUGAGCAAAUCAAUACACGGGAUUUCUUUCUACAAAGCCCUUUGAAGCUCGAGCAAUUGUCUUGAUGGGCUCUGACUCACUCCCAGGAAGAGCACAAUCAAUUAUCUAAUCACAUGAAAACAAAGUACGGGCCCAAGCACAGGCAGCAUGCAGUGCCAUCACUGGCGCUGGGCAGCACAUUGAUGUCUCAUGCAAAGUACGGUAAGAAAAUACAGUAGUGAUUAUAAAAAUGGCAGCCUGUUUUUAAAAGCUGACAGUGGCCUUUCAAAGGGAGCAGAACAUUAAACGUGCGGGUGGUUACGCAGACCACAAUAUGCGUUGCACAUGAUGUUGUUGCUGUUAGGGACUGGAGAGGGGGCUGGAGGCUAUUCAAGGCUAGGCUGAAUGCGGCUCUGUGGGGGCUUGAAACUAGAUGAUCUCAAAGGUCCUUUUCAACCCAGGCCAUUCCAUGCUGCUGUUAUUCUAUGAUUCUUUGCAACAUAGGCCCCAGACUUCACUGUUUUGUAUUUUUUCCCCUCAGAGUUGGGUGCUCCAGGCUCCACCUGGGCUCUGCUGACUGAGGAGGCCUCAGCCAGUAGCAGGCCCAAAGCUCACCAGCCAGGCCCCAGGAGCUCCACAUGGCAACAGAUCUCUCUUUGGGGGUAAAAGAGUGGAGAUGGGAUGAUUUGCUCGGUGCUGACAGCAUUCUUGGUAACAGAAUGUGAUAAUUUUGGUUUGGAUGUGACUCUCCAGGCUUCAUCCAUCCCUCAGGCUAAGGUGAGGGCUUCCCCUCAGGCUGCUUGCUCCCAGCGCUCCCUGGUCCCUUUAGUAAUUUCUUACUCAAAUCCCCAGACAGGUUGGAAUCCAUCUUUACUGAGUCAU
Cairina moschata (Muscovy duck) is the source of this 2901-nucleotide long non-coding RNA. The record is from Ensembl. NCBI's taxonomy places the organism in Eukaryota, Metazoa, Chordata, Aves, Anseriformes, Anatidae.